RNAcentral lists this ribosomal RNA (253 nucleotides) under uncultured bacterium. RNAcentral describes it as "partial 16S ribosomal RNA". It matches the Rfam family "Bacterial small subunit ribosomal RNA", at positions 524 to 776 of the family's 1533-position model. The record is from RNAcentral.
UACGUAGGGGGCUAGCGUUGUCCGGAUUUAUUGGGCGUAAAGAGCGUGUAGGCGGCCAGGUAGGUCUGCUGUGAAAACUCGAGGCUCAACCUCGAGACGGCGGCGGAAACCAUCUGGCUAGAGUCCGGAAGAGGAGAAUGGAAUUCCCGGUGUAGCGGUGAAAUGCGCAGAUAUCGGGAGGAACACCGGUGGCGAAGGCGGUUCUCUGGGCCUUACCUGACGCUGAGGAGCGAAAGCGUGGGGAGCGAACAGG